GACGAACGCUGGCGGCGUGCUUAACACAUGCAAGUCGAACGGUGAAGCGCCUUCCUUUUUGGUGGGUGUGGAUGAGUGGCGAACGGGUGAGUAACACGUGAGUAACCUGCCCCCUUCUUCUGGAUAACCGCAUGAAAGUGUGGCUAAUACGGGAUAUUCUGGGUCUGUCGCAUGAUGGGUCUGGGAAAGAUAUUGUUUCGGUGGGGGAUGGGCUCGCGGCCUAUCAGCUUGUUGGUGGGGUGAUGGCCUACCAAGGCGGUGACGGGUAGCCGGCCUGAGAGGGUGGACGGUCACACUGGGACUGAGACACGGCCCAGACUCCUACGGGAGGCAGCAGUGGGGAAUAUGGCACAAUGGGCGCAAGCCUGAUGCAGCGACGCCGCGUGAGGGAUGGAGGCCUUCGGGUGGUGAACCUCUUUCGCCAGUGAAGCAGGCCUGCCUCGUUUGUGGGUGGGUUGACGGUAGCUGGAUAAGAAGCGCCGGCUAACUACGU
RNAcentral lists this ribosomal RNA (493 nucleotides) under uncultured bacterium. RNAcentral's name for it is "partial 16S ribosomal RNA". It matches the Rfam family "Bacterial small subunit ribosomal RNA", at positions 28 to 506 of the family's 1533-position model. The record is from RNAcentral.